Molecule: long non-coding RNA, 597 nt
Organism: Bos taurus (domestic cattle)
Lineage: Eukaryota; Metazoa; Chordata; Mammalia; Artiodactyla; Bovidae
Source: Ensembl
CUCUGUGGCUUCAGGGCUUAGUAGUGUGGCGUGUUGGUUUAGUUACUCUGUAGCGUGUGGAAUCUUAGUUCCCAGACCAGGGAUUGAACCAAAGUCCUCUGCAUUGCAAGGCGGAGUCUUAACCACUGGUUGUUGUUGUUUAUAGUCGCUCAGUCGUGUCCGACUCUUUGCGACCCAUGGACUGCAGCACACCAGGCUUCUCUGUCCUCCACUGUGCCCUGGAGUUUGCUCAAGUUCAUGUCCACUGAGUUGGUGUUGCUAUCUAACCAUCUCACACUUUGCCGCUCUCUUCUCCUUUUGCCCUCAAUCUUUCCUAGCCUCAGAGUCUUUUCCAGUGAGUCCACUCUUCACAGCAGGUGGCUAAAUUAUUCGAGCUUAAGCUUCAGCAACCGCUGAAGCACCAGGGAAGUCCCUAGGUGGUGUUUUUUGGCUCUGCACCUAUCUGCCUCGAAAAGUACCCAAAUGGAUGUGAAGUAAAUCGCUGGGCUCCUGUCAACAUCUAAACCAAGGCAUUCCUGCUGCAGAACUUCCAGAACAGUGCAUUUAAAGGUGGCUGAGUGGUGAAGAAUCUGCUUACCAAUGCAGGAGACACAGGAG